AUUAACGCUAGCGGCAGGCAUAAUACAUGCAAGUUGAACGGCAGCACAGGCAGCAAUACCGGGUGGCGAGUGGCGCACGGGUGCGUAACACGUAUGCAACCUACCCUAUACAGGCGAAUAACCUUUAGAAAUGAGGGCUAAUACGCCGUGGUAUUAUCUUGGGGCAUCUUGAGAUAAUUAAAGAUUUAUCGGUAUAGGAUGGGCAUGCGUCCCAUUAGUUAGUUGGUAGGGUAACGGCCUACCAAGGCUAUGAUGGGUAGGGG
RNAcentral lists this ribosomal RNA (263 nucleotides) under uncultured bacterium. RNAcentral describes it as "partial 16S ribosomal RNA". It matches the Rfam family "Bacterial small subunit ribosomal RNA", at positions 29 to 289 of the family's 1533-position model. The record is from RNAcentral.